Non-coding RNA from Penaeus vannamei (Pacific white shrimp), 257 nucleotides. Lineage: Eukaryota; Metazoa; Arthropoda; Malacostraca; Decapoda; Penaeidae. The record is from RefSeq and is a predicted model, not a curated record.
ACUUCAGUGUAGUCUGGGAAAGAGCACUGGAGUUGGGCUUGUCACCUUGCAGAGUGAUUUCUACCUUCACAUGGUCUUCGCAUUGAUGCAAGGGUGCAGGCUGGCUACCUGUCAUGAGAUGGUGUACCUGUCGUGACGUGACGUGCCUGUGGUGAUGAGGUGGUGAUGUGAAGCGUCAGUGCUACCUGCUUUGGGAUACGAUCUCGAAUGUCUCCAGGAAAGGAUUAAACCGUGUGCAAGAAUCCAAGAGAUUAUUC